UGUUGCCUCAGCCCGAAUUGGCAGUACUUGUGUUGAUUGCGGUGUUCGUGUUACAGAGAUCACUCGCGGAUUACCUGCCUGAAGCCUCCAUCGUGGCUGGUCGUAGCUGUAGAAGCCCCCUAUGAGGCACUCUGUUCAUGACUCGAGUGACGCUGUUUAAUUGGAAGUGUGGACCUUAGUAGACGGCCAGUAGCUUUACAGCAGGGUCGCUACGGCUUUUCUAUACUACGCUAUGCUGCUGCUUUGCCUUUUACCGUCUGUUUCCGUUUGCGAGGGUUCUUUUUCCCUGCUGCUACCAGCCUCUCAAGAGUGGACGUCGGCAUGGACAGCGGCUACAUACAUGCCGGCUACGGGAGUCGGCUGGCAUGCAUGUCGAUUGACUGAAUUAUUAAAUUAAAGUAGUUGGGCGGACAGCAAUUUGGAGUAAUACGGCGACUCCGUCUGCUCCAGAUUUAAAGUUUUAUUUAGUUUGUAUGUCUGUCUCUCUGUUGUUUUGAUUUGUAGUUUGGGUUUUUGGUUACACCACUGGUAGGAGGCCCUUUGUCUAGCUGCGGAUCACCAGUGUGUUCCUGCAGUUGGGCUGACCCCAGCGUGCAUAUUAGUUUUGUUGGAAUAUAUUAUAAUUUUCUUUGUUUCUUUUAUUCAGAUGCGGAGGGCCUGACGUGGAGGAGACUGGGGUGCCUUGGUGGUGGGAUCUUUUGAGUGUUACACACCUGCAUUUUUAGUUCAUUAGUGUGAGCGUGUGAUAGUGUGCUGCACUUGUGUAUUUGUGAGUUUUCUUUUCUUUUUGAGUUGUUUUUGUGCGUGGCAUCCCUGCCCCUCCACUGGUAAGCCUCGGCUCUGAAUACUCUUUAGAAUAUCUGUAUAUUGAUAUUUACGCUUGUGUUUUUAUAUGCUGUUUUAAAUAAUUAUUAAUAAAUUGUCUGUUUUAUCAUU
Molecule: long non-coding RNA, 936 nt
Organism: Oreochromis niloticus (Nile tilapia)
Lineage: Eukaryota; Metazoa; Chordata; Actinopteri; Cichliformes; Cichlidae
Exons: 3
Source: RefSeq, a predicted model, not a curated record